GGGGGCAACCCUGACGAAGCAAUGCCGCGUGAAUGAAGAAGGCCUUCGGGUUGUAAAGUUCUUUCGUGGGAGACGAAAAGGUGGGUGCUAAUAUCGCCUGCUGUUGACGUGAAUCCAAGAAGAAGCACCGGCUAACUCCGUGCCAGCAGCCGCGGUAAUACGGGGGGUGCGAGCGUUAAUCGGAAUCACUGGGCGUAAAGGGUGCGUAGGCGGUGCAUUAGGUCUGUCGUGAAAUCCCCGGGCUCAACCUGGGAAUGGCGGUGGAAACCGGUGUACUAGAGUAUGGGAGAGGGUGAUGGAAUUCCAGGUGUAGCGGUGAAAUGCGUAGAGAUCUGGAGGAACAUCAGUGGCGAAGGCGGUCACCUGGCCCAAUACUGACGCUGAGGCGCGAAAGCGUGGGGAGCAAACAGGAUUAGAUACCCUGGUAGUCCACGCCCUAAACGAUGGAUACUAGAUGUUUGGUGCCAAGCGUGCUGAGUGUCGUAGCUAACGUGAUAAGUAUCCCGCCUGGGAAGUACGGCCGCAAGGUUAAAACUCAAAUGAAUUGACGG
RNAcentral lists this ribosomal RNA (551 nucleotides) under uncultured bacterium. RNAcentral describes it as "bacterial SSU rRNA". It matches the Rfam family "Bacterial small subunit ribosomal RNA", at positions 373 to 916 of the family's 1533-position model. The record is from RNAcentral.